GGGCAAAGGAAAGCAGUGAAUUUUGACAUUUGGAAGAGGAUAUAUAACACUAAAUUGUAUUCUUAAAUUGGCAUGUCCUACUGUUGCAAUAAAAAACUAUAUAUUACUGAUUGGCUCCUAAAUGUUUGAUGAAAUCUAUGGGGGUAAGCACAUGCAGCCAGUUAGGUGAACUAGAACAAGGCCAACCAUCUGUAUCACAAGCACCUACGCUAAAUCAUAAACAUCAUAUUGAGACAGAUAUACUUCUACAUGCAACAAAACAUCAGACAAAAGCAACAUACUAUACUACACCUGCACAUUGAUCAAUCAUUCUAUGUGCAUCACCCCACCCAAAAAAAGCUUGCUGUAACCUUAUCAGCAGUCUAAGAUGAACUGACCAUUGUGCUUACCUUCUCCAAGAGCACUUUCAUUUCGCAUUCUAACUUGGAUUUCAGAUCUCGGGAUAUUUUUCCCUCUGAUGUCUCCAGCAAUGAUGUUAUCAUCUCAAGCUUCUGCUUUAUAAAGUUCAAUUGUGAUACAUCAUUGCCAGAAGAUUGC
This 537-nucleotide unclassified non-coding RNA is filed under the name Hevea brasiliensis (rubber tree). Lineage: Eukaryota; Viridiplantae; Streptophyta; Magnoliopsida; Malpighiales; Euphorbiaceae. The record is from RNAcentral.